GAAAACUUAGGGCAAGCGGCGGCGGUAAGACAGAGGGUGCAAGCGUUAAUCGGAAUGACUGGGCGUAAAGCGAGCGGAGGUGGUUUGUUAAGUUGGAUGGGAAAGCCCCGGGCUCAACCUGGGAACUGCAUCCAAAACUGGCAAGCUAGAGUACGGUAGAGGGUGGUGGAAUUUCCUGUGUAGCGGUGAAAUGCGUAGAUAGAGGAAGGAACACCAGUGGCGAAGGCGGCUCACUGGCUCGAUACUGACGCUGAGGUGCGAAAGCGUGGGGAGCAAACAGGAUUAGAUACCCCUGUAGUC
This 300-nucleotide ribosomal RNA is filed under the name uncultured Lactobacillus sp. RNAcentral's name for it is "bacterial SSU rRNA". It matches the Rfam family "Bacterial small subunit ribosomal RNA", at positions 496 to 795 of the family's 1533-position model. The record is from RNAcentral. Lineage: Bacteria; Bacillati; Bacillota; Bacilli; Lactobacillales; Lactobacillaceae.